GACGAACGCUGGCGGCGUGCUUAACACAUGCAAGUCGAACGGAAAGGCCCUGCUUUUGUGGGGUGCUCGAGUGGCGAACGGGUGAGUAACACGUGAGUAACCUGCCCUUGACUUUGGGAUAACUUCAGGAAACUGGGGCUAAUACCGGAUAGGAGCUCCUGCUGCAUGGUGGGGGUUGGAAAGUUUCGGCGGUUGGGGAUGGACUCGCGGCUUAUCAGCUUGUUGGUGGGGUAGUGGCUUACCAAGGCUUUGACGGGUAGCCGGCCUGAUAGGGUGACCGGCCACAUUGGGCCUGAGAUACGGCCCAGACUCCUACGGGAGGCAGCAGUGGGGAAUAUUGCACAAUGGGCGGAAGCCUGAUGCAGCACCGCCGCGUGCGGGAUGACGGCCUUCGGGUUGUAAACCGCUUUCGCCUGUGACGAAGCGUGAGUGACGGUAAUGGGUAAAGAAGCACCGGCUAACUACGUG
RNAcentral lists this ribosomal RNA (468 nucleotides) under uncultured bacterium. Its description in RNAcentral is "partial 16S ribosomal RNA". It matches the Rfam family "Bacterial small subunit ribosomal RNA", at positions 28 to 507 of the family's 1533-position model. The record is from RNAcentral.